AUGCAGUCGAACGAUGAAGCCCAGCUUGCUGGGUGGAUUAGUGGCGAACGGGUGAGUAACACGUGAGUAACCUGCCCUUGACUCUGGGAUAAGCGCUGGAAACGGCGUCUAAUACCGGAUACGACCUGCCCCGGCAUCGGGUGCGGGUGGAAAGUUUUUCGGUCAAGGAUGGACUCGCGGCCUAUCAGGUAGUUGGUGAGGUAAUGGCUCACCAAGCCGACGACGGGUAGCCGGCCUGAGAGGGUGACCGGCCACACUGGGACUGAGACACGGCCCAGACUCCUACGGGAGGCAGCAGUGGGGAAUAUUGCACAAUGGGCGAAAGCCUGAUGCAGCAACGCCGCGUGGGGGAUGACGGCCUUCGGGUUGUAAACCUCUUUUAGUAGGGAAGAAGGGCUUCGGCUUGACGGUACCUGCAGAAAAAGCACCGGCUAACUACGUGCCAGCAGCCGCGGUAAUACGUAGGGUGCAAGCGUUGUCCGGAAUUAUUGGGCGUAAAGAGCUCGUAGGCGGUUUGUCGCGUCUGCUGUGAAAACCCGAGGCUCAACCUCGGGCCUGCAGUGGGUACGGGCAGACUAGAGUGCGGUAGGGGAGAAUGGAAUUCCUGGUGUAGCGGUGGAAUGCGCAGAUAUCAGGAGGAACACCGAUGGCGAAGGCAGUUCUCUGGGCCGUUACUGACGCUGAGGAGCGAAAGCGUGGGGAGCGAACAGGAUUAGAUACCCUGGUAGUCCACGCCGUAAACGUUGGGAACUAGAUGUGGGGACCUUUCCACGGUCUCCGUGUCGCAGCUAACGCAUUAAGUUCCCCGCCUGGGGAGUACGGCCGCAAGGCUAAAACUCAAAGGAAUUGACGGGGGCCCGCACAAGCGGCGGAGCAUGCGGAUUAAUUCGAUGCAACGCGAAGAACCUUACCAAGGCUUGACAUAUACCGGAAACUUCCAGAAAUGGUUGCCCCGCAAGGUCGGUAUACAGGUGGUGCAUGGUUGUCGUCAGCUCGUGUCGUGAGAUGUUGGGUUAAGUCCCGCAACGAGCGCAACCCUCGUUCUAUGUUGCCAGCACGUCAUGGUGGGAACUCAUAGGAGACUGCCGGGGUCACUCGGAGGAAGGUGGGGAUGACGUCAAAUCAUCAUGCCCCUUAUGUCUUGGGCUU
This 1149-nucleotide ribosomal RNA is filed under the name Rathayibacter sp. Its description in RNAcentral is "bacterial SSU rRNA". It matches the Rfam family "Bacterial small subunit ribosomal RNA", at positions 55 to 1216 of the family's 1533-position model. Lineage: Bacteria; Bacillati; Actinomycetota; Actinomycetes; Micrococcales; Microbacteriaceae. The record is from RNAcentral.